This 254-nucleotide ribosomal RNA is filed under the name uncultured bacterium. RNAcentral describes it as "partial 16S ribosomal RNA". It matches the Rfam family "Bacterial small subunit ribosomal RNA", at positions 524 to 776 of the family's 1533-position model. The record is from RNAcentral.
UACGGGGGAUGCAAGCGUUAUCCGGAUUUAUUGGGUUUAAAGGGUGCGUAGGCUGUGAGGUAAGUCAGCGGUGAAACGCCCCCGCUCAACGGGGUGAAGUGCCAUUGAUACUGCCUUGCUGGAAUGCGGAUGCCGUGGGAGGAAUGUGUGGUGUAGCGGUGAAAUGCAUAGAUAUCACACAGAACACCGAUUGCGAAGGCAUCUCACGAAUCCGCGAUUGACGCUGAUGCACGAAAGCGUGGGUAUCAAACAGG